CCUACGGGAGGCAGCAGUGGGGAAUAUUGGACAAUGGGCGAAAGCCUGAUCCAGCCAUGCCGCGUGUGUGAAGAAGGCCUUCGGGUUGUAAAGCACUUUCAGUGGGGAAGAAAGCCUUGGGGCUAAUACCCUCGAGGAAGGACAUCACCCACAGAAGAAGCACCGGCUAACUCCGUGCCAGCAGCCGCGGUAAUACGGAGGGUGCGAGCGUUAAUCGGAAUUACUGGGCGUAAAGCGCGCGUAGGCGGUCUGAUAAGCCGGUUGUGAAAGCCCCGGGCUCAACCUGGGAACGGCAUCCGGACGUGUGAGGUGAGAUGGCAGGAGGGGAGGGAGGAAGCCGGGGUGGGGGGGGGAAAUGGGUGGAGACCGGGAGGAAAACAGGGGGGGAGGGGGGCCUUUGGGAUUGCCCUGGCCGUGGGGGGCCAAAAGGUUGGUACGAAAACAGGGUUAGAUACCCGGGUAGUC
This 465-nucleotide ribosomal RNA is filed under the name Vreelandella stevensii. RNAcentral describes it as "partial 16S ribosomal RNA". It matches the Rfam family "Bacterial small subunit ribosomal RNA", at positions 338 to 795 of the family's 1533-position model. The record is from RNAcentral. Lineage: Bacteria; Pseudomonadati; Pseudomonadota; Gammaproteobacteria; Oceanospirillales; Halomonadaceae.